AUACGAAGGGGGCUUUUAGCGUUGUUCGGAAUUACUGGGCGUAAAGCGCAUGUAGGCGGACAUUUAAGUCAGGGGUGAAAUCCCGGGGCUCAACCUCGGAACUGCCUUUGAUACUGGGUGUCUAGAGUGUGGAAGAGGUAAGUGGAAUUCCGAGUGUAGAGGUGAAAUUCGUAGAUAUUCGGAGGAACACCAGUGGCGAAGGCGGCUUACUGGUCCAUUACUGACGCUGAGGUGCGAAAGCGUGGGGAGC
Molecule: ribosomal RNA, 250 nt
Filed under: uncultured bacterium
Lineage: Bacteria
Description: partial 16S ribosomal RNA
Rfam family: Bacterial small subunit ribosomal RNA
Source: RNAcentral